GGAGAGAAGAUGUAAAGGUCCCUGAGCUCGAAGCCUCGAAUAUACGGUGAUUCUUAUCUUGAUUUAGCAGCUGAUUUUUGUUCUUUGAUAUAGUGCUUAUGGCAGAAGAAGUGAAGCUAAUUGGCACAUGGGCUAGUCCUUUUAGUCGCAGAAUUGAAAUAGCCCUGAAGCUCAAAGGAAUCAAAUAUGAUUACAUAGAAGAAGAUCCCUCCAAUAAGAGCCCUAUGCUCCUCAAGUACAACCCAGUUCAUAAGAAGAUUCCUGUUCUGGUGCACAAUGGAAGACCAAUUGUAGAAUCACUUGUUAUUCUUGAAUAUAUCGAUGAGACCUGGAAAAAUAAUCCAAUCUUGCCUAAAGGCCACUACGACAGAGCCAUAGCUCGUUUCUGGGCCAACUUUGUAGAUGAAAAAGUAAAUUAAUCAGUUCCUUGUAUACCUGCAGAUUUCACUCUUUCGAUGCUAGCAGGAGAGUCUGUUUUAUCAAGUGUUUGUCUAACAUUGUUAUUUGAGUCGUUAUUUAGGAAACUAACAACUUAAAUAUAUGAAUUACAAGUUAUUAAAAAUUUUCGAAAAGCUACUUCAGUUGUUUAGUAUGGAGAAUGUUUGCAGAUCUUGCGAACGGCUAUCAACAUUGGUUCAGCCAAAGUGGAGGAGAAAGAGGGGAUCAUUGAAGAAGUCUGUCAGUUGCAGAAACUGCUGGAAAGCGAGCUAAAAGAACGGGAAUUCUUUGGGGGCGAGACAAUUGGGUUCCUAGACAUAGUGGCGUUUAUGACAGCCCACUGGUUUCAAGUCCCUCAGGAAGUUAUGCAAAUCCAAUUUAUUAGUGAAGAGAAAUUGACAGCUCUAUGUAAAUGGAUGGAAAAGCUCCGAAAAAUACAAGUGGUCAAUGACUGCCUGCCUCCAAGAGACAAACUUAUAGCCUUCGUCAAAGCUCGCAUUGAAGCUGCCAAUUUUGCUUCCAAAUAAAGUCGUAUUUCAUACAUUCUUAGUCGCACAGUUGUCUGCGACGCACAUACCCUAUAGUUGACGAAUAUGUAGAUAGAUCUCUUGCAGCUCUGAGUUGUGUCAUGCGAAGAUUACGAAUAAAAGCUUGGUUUGAAGUGUACAUAUAUCUUGAAGAAUCCGGCAAAAUCUUUGAGUUCAUAGA
This 1146-nucleotide unclassified non-coding RNA is filed under the name Hevea brasiliensis (rubber tree). Lineage: Eukaryota; Viridiplantae; Streptophyta; Magnoliopsida; Malpighiales; Euphorbiaceae. The record is from RNAcentral.